ACAUUGAUGGUUCAGUGGUGGAAUUCUUGCCUUCCAUGCCGGAGGCCUGGGUUCGAUUCCUAGCCAGUGCA
This 71-nucleotide transfer RNA is filed under the name Loxodonta africana (African savanna elephant). It matches the Rfam family "tRNA". Rfam says of the family: Transfer RNA (tRNA) molecules are approximately 80 nucleotides in length. Their secondary structure includes four short double-helical elements and three loops (D, anti-codon, and T loops). The record is from Rfam by way of RNAcentral. Lineage: Eukaryota; Metazoa; Chordata; Mammalia; Proboscidea; Elephantidae.